GUCCUUAGUUACCAGCACGUAUGGUGGGCACUCUAAGGAGACUGCCGGUGGACAAACCGGAGGAAGGUGGGGAUGACGUCAAGUCAUCAUGGCCCUUACGGCCUGGGCUACACACGUGCUACAAUGGUCGGUACAAAGGGUUGCCAAGCCGCGAGGUGGAGCUAAUCCCAUAAAACCGAUCGUAGUCCGGAUCGCAGUCUGCAACUCGACUGCGUGAAGUCGGAAUCGCUAGUAAUCGUGAAUCAGAAUGUCACGGUGAAUACGUUCCCGGGCCUU
Molecule: ribosomal RNA, 276 nt
Filed under: uncultured Pseudomonas sp.
Lineage: Bacteria; Pseudomonadati; Pseudomonadota; Gammaproteobacteria; Pseudomonadales; Pseudomonadaceae
Description: partial 16S ribosomal RNA
Rfam family: Bacterial small subunit ribosomal RNA
Source: RNAcentral